Molecule: transfer RNA, 77 nt
Filed under: Marine Group III euryarchaeote CG-Bathy1
Lineage: Archaea; Methanobacteriati; Thermoplasmatota; Thermoplasmata; Candidatus Thermoprofundales
Description: tRNA-Lys
Rfam family: tRNA
About the family: Transfer RNA (tRNA) molecules are approximately 80 nucleotides in length. Their secondary structure includes four short double-helical elements and three loops (D, anti-codon, and T loops).
Source: RNAcentral
GGGCCUGUAGCUCAGCUAGGUAGAGCGUCCGGCUUUUAACCGGACGGCCCAGGGUUCGAAUCCCUGCAGGCCCGCCA